GAUGAACGCUGGCGGCGUGCCUAAUACAUGCAAGUCGAGCGAACAGACGAGGAGCUUGCUCCUCUGACGUUAGCGGCGGACGGGUGAGUAACACGUGGAUAACCUACCUAUAAGACUGGGAUAACUUCGGGAAACCGGAGCUAAUACCGAUAAUAUAUUGAACCGCAUGGUUCAAUAGUGAAAGACGGUUUUGCUGUCACUUAUAGAUGGAUCCGCGCCGCAUUAGCUAGUUGGUAAGGUAACGGCUUACCAAGGCAACGAUGCGUAGCCGACCUGAGAGGGUGAUCGGCCACACUGGAACUGAGACACGGUCCAGACUCCUACGGGAGGCAGCAGUAGGGAAUCUUCCGCAAUGGGCGAAAGCUUGACGGAGCAACGCCGCGUGAGUGAUGAAGGUCUUCGGAUCGUAAAACUCUGUUAUUAGGGAAGAACAAAUGUGUAAGUAACUAUGCACGUCUUGACGGUACCUAAUCAGAAAGCCACGGCUAACUACGUG
This 496-nucleotide ribosomal RNA is filed under the name uncultured bacterium. RNAcentral's name for it is "partial 16S ribosomal RNA". It matches the Rfam family "Bacterial small subunit ribosomal RNA", at positions 28 to 507 of the family's 1533-position model. The record is from RNAcentral.